GACGAACGCUGGCGGCGUGCCUAAUACAUGCAAGUAGAACGCUGAAGGAGGAGCUUGCUUCUCUGGAUGAGUUGCGAACGGGUGAGUAACGCGUAGGUAACCUGCCUGGUAGCGGGGGAUAACUAUUGGAAACGAUAGCUAAUACCGCAUAAUAGUAGAUGUUGCAUGACAUUUGCUUAAAAGGUGCAAUUGCAUCACUACCAGAUGGACCUGCGUUGUAUUAGCUAGUUGGUGGGGUAACGGCUCACCAAGGCGACGGUACAUAGCCGACCUGAGAGGGUGAUCGGCCACACUGGGACUGAGACACGGCCCAGACUCCUACGGGAGGCAGCAGUAGGGAACCUUCGGCAAUGGACGGAAGUCUGACCGAGCAGCGCCGCGUGAGUGAAGAAGGUUUUCGGAUCGUAAAGCUCUGUUGUAAGAGAAGAACGAGUGUGAGAGUGGAAAGUUCACACUGUGACGGUAUCUUACCAGAAAGGGACGGCUAACUACGUGC
RNAcentral lists this ribosomal RNA (496 nucleotides) under uncultured Streptococcus sp. RNAcentral describes it as "bacterial SSU rRNA". It matches the Rfam family "Bacterial small subunit ribosomal RNA", at positions 28 to 508 of the family's 1533-position model. Lineage: Bacteria; Bacillati; Bacillota; Bacilli; Lactobacillales; Streptococcaceae. The record is from RNAcentral.